Molecule: non-coding RNA, 106 nt
Filed under: human gut metagenome
Description: FMN riboswitch (RFN element)
Rfam family: FMN riboswitch aptamer (RFN element)
About the family: The RFN element is a highly conserved domain that is found frequently in the 5'-untranslated regions of prokaryotic mRNAs that encode for flavin mononucleotide (FMN) biosynthesis and transport proteins.
Source: RNAcentral
CUUCGGGGCAGGGUGAAAUUCCCUACCGGUGGUAUAGUCCACGACCACGCUUGCGUGCUGAUGAGGUGCAAUUCCUCAACCGACGGUACAGUCCGGAUGAAAGGAG